CCGACAAUAGACUUUUCACAAAUAUGCUGUGGUCGUGCUUAAAUUCAAGAUAUUUGGAUUCUAUGCUAUAAUGUUGAGACACCUUUAAGUCAACAAACCAAAUUACCUUAGCAAUAUGGAAUAAAAAUAGAGUCAUCGCACCUUGUCUAAAAGUUCAGUCCGAGGCCAAAUUCGCAGUCUCAAAAGGCUUUCUAGAUUAUAUCAGUUGGAUAAAGUUGAUAAAUGCCAUAUAUUGGUUUUCAGGACAUCUGUUGAUAAUGAAGAUGACCAUUUUGGUUUGCUGGAAGAAGGACAAGGAUGAUUGCUUUUCAAUAUUAUAUACUUAAUGAGAAGAAUUAUGAAUCUAAUCACUUAAUCAUGGAUUGGAGUGUGAAUUAUGUAAAGAUGACUUUUUUAGGCACAAUGUAUGAUCGAUAGUAUCUCUUUUAAAUACUAUAUAGAAAAUUAAAAUCAUACAUAAAAUAAUAAAAUACGAACACAUUCCUUUAGUCGAACCAGCUAUUUAAAAGAUUUGACAGUAGAAACGUGAAAGAUUUUAUGGACAAAACAAUCAAAGCAACUGUAACUAAUUUAAUUGUGCUUGAUAAAUAGAAGAAAAGGGAAAAUGUAACAAAUAUAUGAUUAUGUAAAAAAGACUGCAUCCAUAAGAAACUCAAUGCACUACAAAACAACUUUCUGUUACAAACUAAUCCACAUUCCGCUCGAUGUUCAAGCUCUUCUAUUUCUGUAAUUACGCACAUCAUAAAGUUCAAUAAGUGGAAUAAACAAAAUUCAUUGCAAACGCCAGACAAAUCAC
Molecule: long non-coding RNA, 796 nt
Filed under: Olea europaea subsp. europaea
Lineage: Eukaryota; Viridiplantae; Streptophyta; Magnoliopsida; Lamiales; Oleaceae
Source: RNAcentral